CAAAAAAAAAAAAAAAAAGGUCAAACCAAGGCAAGUUUGCUGUGAGAAACCAAGGAACCCAGAAAUGAGGAAGCAGAACUGAGACCCAACUUAAGAAGGCUGAGGAUUCAAGUGACACAAGUGAUGAGUAUCAGCUGGCUGGAGGCACCUCUCCAAGGCAAGACGAUCAGUCAAAUUUGGGCCAGAAGAUGGCAGCUGACGCUCUCUUACAUGCCAAUGUGUGGGAUAUAGGGCAGAGCUUGCGGUGGCGCAAGGGAGCAAAGGACUAGUUUUCCAAUGACGAGCUUUUGGGGACAAGCUGGUCGGUAACCUGCAAUGCUGAUGAGGAGGGUGGUGAUGUUAGAAGAUCUUUCUCACCCUACUAACUUGAAAGGCAGUGGAUAAACAAAGGAAGAAAUUAUGACCUGACUCUGAUACCAUGUGAAAAAUGAAGAAGAA
This 438-nucleotide unclassified non-coding RNA is filed under the name Hevea brasiliensis (rubber tree). The record is from RNAcentral. Lineage: Eukaryota; Viridiplantae; Streptophyta; Magnoliopsida; Malpighiales; Euphorbiaceae.